UCCCUCACAAGACCUCAGUUCUGCAAACAUCAAAUGAGUAACUAUUUGCUGUCAGGCUUGGACUUUUUUUUUAUCUUGAAAGGAAUGUUAAGAUUGAAAAGAAUAUAAACCAGAAGUAGGGUAACAAAGGGCACAGUAAAAACCGCAAGACUUUAUGCAUCAUGUGUUGUAAAAGUCAUGUGCCAUUAUUUCAUUUCUCAAUGAGCCAUGUUUGAGUUCUUUUUAAACUUGUGACAACUCAGACUGUUAAACAGAUCUGAGAAAUGUGAGCAGCAUCUGCGUUGACUUUCUGCUUUCCCUCAUUAAUAAAUUGCUCUUCUCUUUUUUAUAAACCAAUCUACCAUCAUCAUCAUCAUCAUCAUCGUUUUAGAUUUGAUAGUCAAACAUAAAAUGUCUCCAUAUUGGUGAUUUAAUUGUUACAGCUCUAUUUGACAGAAUAGCAUCUUCCCAAGUCAACCAGUGUCAAGGAAAAAUUCUCAUUGUAGAAACUGAUUGGAAUAAACCUCAAGCCCUGAGACCUGAGAAGCCCUUAAUUUGCAAUUCGCCCAAGGGCAUAAUUUGCUUUUUUAAUUUAGCUUU
Molecule: long non-coding RNA, 579 nt
Organism: Hippocampus comes (tiger tail seahorse)
Lineage: Eukaryota; Metazoa; Chordata; Actinopteri; Syngnathiformes; Syngnathidae
Exons: 4
Source: RefSeq, a predicted model, not a curated record